This 305-nucleotide small RNA is filed under the name Histoplasma capsulatum var. duboisii H88. Its description in RNAcentral is "Histoplasma capsulatum H88 hypothetical RNA". The record is from RNAcentral. Lineage: Eukaryota; Fungi; Ascomycota; Eurotiomycetes; Onygenales; Ajellomycetaceae.
GUGGCACUUGCUCUCGAGAGGGGUGUGGCCUUUGCAAGCUCGUUCUUCCCCAUACUGUGCUGAUUAUGAGUUUGACUCUCCCCGAUCUCCUAUUUUCCCUGUGUAUGUGGGUUUUUGUUUAUCGCACUCUUCUGCUAUUUCCAAUUUUCGAUAGUGAGGGGGGAACAAAACCAUUCUACACACCAACCCAAUUGUGCCGAAGGACGUAUUUUCUGAACACACAACCACACACACGCCUACAUGGAAAAAGAAUGGUAUUUCAUACAUCUAAAUUCCCGGAGUUUGGUGAUUGUUUUCUUGGGAAA